AACGAACGCUGGCGGCGUGCCUAACACAUGCAAGUCGAGCGCGAAAGUUGCCUUCGGGUGACGAGUAGAGCGGCGCACGGGUGAGUAACACGUGGGUAAUCUGCCCUUUAGUUUGGGAUAACUCAGGGAAACUUGAGCUAAUACUGGAUAAGACCAUGGGAUACUUUCCUAUGGGGAAAGUGGGGGACCUCUUCGGAGGCCUCACGCUUAAGGAUGAGCCCGCGGCCCAUCAGUUAGUUGGUAGGGUAACGGCCUACCAAGGCAAAGACGGGUAGCUGGUCUGAGAGGAUGAUCAGUCACACUGGAACUGAGACACGGUCCAG
RNAcentral lists this ribosomal RNA (323 nucleotides) under uncultured bacterium. RNAcentral describes it as "bacterial SSU rRNA". It matches the Rfam family "Bacterial small subunit ribosomal RNA", at positions 29 to 334 of the family's 1533-position model. The record is from RNAcentral.